Molecule: unclassified non-coding RNA, 154 nt
Filed under: soil metagenome
Description: partial internal transcribed spacer 1
Source: RNAcentral
AUAAAAGGAUACCUUCGGGUAUACCCCAUCCGUGUCUACUAUACUCUUGUUGCUUUGGCAAGCCGUGGUCUUCCACUGUGGGCUCUGCCUGCAUGUGCCUGCCAGAGGACCAAACUCUGAAUUUUAGUGAUGUCUGAGUACUAUAUAAUAGUUA